This 580-nucleotide unclassified non-coding RNA is filed under the name Hevea brasiliensis (rubber tree). Lineage: Eukaryota; Viridiplantae; Streptophyta; Magnoliopsida; Malpighiales; Euphorbiaceae. The record is from RNAcentral.
AGGAUACUGAAUCCAUUGAAAUUGGAUCCUUAGCAAGAACAGGGUGAGCAGUUGCUUUCCUUUUCCUGCGAGAACAGGGACACAAAAGACCACAGGUUAUGACAACAAUUCCAGCUGCUACUAAGCCGACAUGUUUGGGGGUUAAAGUUGUAGGAUUGUUCUUCUUCUCUUUUGGAGGAAUAUCCUGACCUCCAUGGAUUUUGGACUGUUCCCCGACCUCCUUUUGCAAAAGUUUUCUUCCUCCCUUGAGGGACAAGUUAGCUAAUAAGAGGUCCAACCCACGGUAGCUACAGCCAUCAUAACUCUCAAAGAUGCAACCAUUUGCAUAGUGGAAGUGGAGGAGCUUGCAAAAUGAAUCUUUGUCUACGGGACUUCCAUUAAUGUAAAACAAUUCUUGAUCAUCAAAAUUUGAAUAGACUAUGUGAUCGGUACCACAAACCUUUGAUUGUAUGUGCAACCCAAAGGCUAUUAUACUUGGAAAUUGCACCAAUAACAGAAGAGCCAAUGCAGAAACAGCCAUCAUCAAUGAAAUAAUGUGCUCCAUUUACAUCUUUGAGAAUUUAAACAUAAUGAAAACAUC